RNAcentral lists this long non-coding RNA (1858 nucleotides) under Homo sapiens (human). Its description in RNAcentral is "HSALNT0376081". The record is from RNAcentral. Lineage: Eukaryota; Metazoa; Chordata; Mammalia; Primates; Hominidae.
UCCAACUCCUGACCUCAUGAUCCCCCCGCCUCAGCCUCCCAAAGUGCUGGGAUUACAAGCGUGAGCCACCGCGACCCGCCAACACUCUUGACAACAGUGCUGUGCUAAGAACUUGGGGGACUUCAAAAAGUUCACCAGUUCCUGUGUCCAUGGGUGAAAAGAUUUUCUACAUCUUUCCUUGACUAGAAACAGAAGUCCUGAAACAAGAAUAUAACGUCAGGAGGCCAGAGGCUUUGUCCUGCCUAAUGUGUUAUUUCCACACUGAAUAAAAGCACCUGAGUCCUGCAUUUUAAAAAGGUUGUACAUCUAGCAAUACCUAACAAAAUAGGAAAUCAACUUGUAUACCAUCUGUUUGAAUCAGGCUUAAGUUGAAGAUAUCUGAAACUACUCUGGCUAUUUAAAGCAGAAAAGGAUUUAAUACAGGAAUUAAGUUCAUACAAAUUUAUUGGAAGGCCGGGAUAACAGGAUCCAGUACCUCAGAAGUAACCCACCCGGAGAAUUUCUACUUCUGUUGUAAUUAAGAAUCUGUAGUACUGUCACUGCAACCAUACGCUCUAGAAAUAUAUUGCUUUAGGUAUGCAACCCAUAGAUUAGAAAACUAUGUACUGUUGACUCCAGAGCCACAUUACAUCUGUUAUAUUGGCACAAGCAAAAAUGGAUGCCUGGAGGCCUUUCAAUAUUCAGAAAUUAAUUAUUGGGCACUGGGAUCUGUGAAAAUGCUGUUGUAGAAAAAUCCAGGGCCCCUGUGAUUAUGCUGACCAACAGAAACGGUAGACCUGUGGCUUUCAAACUACCCUCCUUUCAAAUAUCACGUUACUAUAUUUUAUUGUCCAAACCUAAACCACAUUCUGUGUUCAUCUGCAAAAGAGACUCAGAAAUGUGGAUUUUAGCUUAUUAGCAUCAAAAGUGUAGGAAAGCUUAGUAUUGAUGGUGGUGUGGACAGUGAGCACAAAUCCACCAGAACUCCCACUAUUCUUCUGUUUGUCCAUUUCCUGACCAUUCAUGCUUCUCUUCCUGUACAUACAUUUCCAAACAAUAUUAUCUACAACAAUCAAUUUUCACCCAAUCCAAUGCAAUGAUUCUCCCAUACAAAUAAAACCUACUUAUACUGUUCCCAAAAGAAGCCAAGCUUCUAUUAGUCAUAGACUCCUCUGGAUGACGUCAGUUCCUCUUCCAGUGCACUUAUCUUCCCGUCUACAUAUUUAAUAAAGUUAUCAAAAAACAACACAUACUAUGAAGUGGGAGAAUGGAAUAUAAAAAAGGAAAUAUGUCUACAUAGAAUAAAAUACAUAAAGAAAAAGGAAGUAAAUAUGGCAUUUGUUUAUCUGAAUGGUCAUAAGAUGAUGAUUGGUAUUCACAGCAUCCUUUUUCUACUCUGAAUUUCAUGCUCCUGUUAUAUUCUUAGCUCUAUGGCAUUAGAUGGUGAGUGGGUUAAAGCCAAUCUUCAUUCUUUAUGGGUCUGAGCCACUGGUGGCCUUGGCUAUCUUGAACUGCUGAAAUUGUACAUGAAUUUUUAACUCUGGACAUGGUAAUUUGAUGACACAUCCCAACAAGUCCUGUAAAACACAGAUUCUUACAAGCUGCCUGACACACACUUUAAUACCAACCCUGAAUCCCCUUAAAACCAAGAUCAAUCUUCUAUCCAACAGAGUAACCUCUUUUUUUCUCCUCUUUUUUAAAAAAAGUUUAUGGUCAUAAGGACACCCAAAUAGCCUGUUAGUAGUUUUAACUUCCAGUUGUAGGAACCAGUGUGCUAUCUUGUGGAAAUAUUACUUUCUUGGAAAUUAUAGCCUCUAAAUCAAAAGAGGUCAAUGUUGUGGGAUGAAGAAGGAAAUUUUUGCAAAAGAACACACCCUCA